UCAAGCAAUAAGGGCACAGGGCGGAUGCCUUGGCACUAAGAGCCGAUGAAAGACGUGAUAAGCUGCGAUAAGCUUCGGGGAGGAGCAAAUAUCCAUUGAUCCGGAGAUUUCUGAAUGGGGAAACCCACACGAGGAAACCUCGUGUAUCCAUACGCCAAUCCAUAACGUAUGGAGGGGAACCCGGGGAACUGAAACAUCUAAGUACCCGGAGGAAAAGAAAGAAAACUCGAUUCCGUAAGUAGCGGCGAGCGAACGCGGAGGAGCCUAAACCGGAAUGCGUGCAUUCCGGGGUUACGGACUGCAUUUAAGAUUCUUUGAAGCUAACAGAACGGUUUUGGGAAAGCCGGCCGCAGAGGGUGAAAGCCCCGUACGUGAAAGCUGAUGAGACUGAGCAGGAUCCAGAGUACCACGAGACACGUGGAACCUUGUGGGAAAUCAGGGGGACCACCCCCUAAGGCUAAAUACUACUUAGUGACCGAUAGCGCAUAGUACUGUGAAGGAAAGGUGAAAAGGACCCCGGGAGGGGAGUGAAAGAGAACCUGAAACCCUGUGUCUACAAGCUGUGGAAGCACUUUAUAUGUGCGACCGCGUACUUUUUGUAGAACGGUCCGGCGAGUUACGCUUACUGGCAAGGUUAAGCACUUCAGGUGCGGAGCCGUAGGGAAACCAAGUCUUAAGAGGGCCUUAAGUCAGUAGGAGUAGACCCGAAACCGGGUGAUCUAUCCAUGUCCAGGUUGAAGCUGCCGUAAGAGGUAGUGGAGGACCGAACCCACAUCCGUUGAAAAGGGUGGGGAUGAGGUGUGGAUAGGGGAGAAAUUCCAAUCGAACCCGGAGAUAGCUGGUUCUCCUCGAAAUAGCUUUAGGGCUAGCCUCGAUACAGAUUUGCGGAGGUAGAGCACUGAAUUUCCUAGGGGGCGUCAAAGCCUACCGAAGAAUAUCAAACUCCGAAUGCCGCGUAAUCGAUUAUCGGGAGUCAGACUGCACGAGAUAAGUUGGGCGGUCAAAAGGGAAAGAGCCCAGACCUUCAGUUAAGGUCCCCAAGUGCGCGUUAAGUGGAAAAGGAUGUGGGAUUUCGAAGACAACCAGGAUGUUGGCUCAGAAGCAGCCAUACAUUCAAAGAGUGCGUAAUAGCUCACUGGUCGAGAGGUCCUGCGCCGAAAAUGUCCGGGGCUGAAACACAACACCGAAGCUUAGGAAUGUAGUAAUACAUUGGUAGAGGAGCAUUCUGUACGGGAUGAAGCAGUACCGAUAAGGAGCUGUGGACUGUAUAGAAGAGAGAAUGCCGGAAUGAGUAGCGAGAUGGAGGUGGGAAUCCUCCAGGCCGAAUAUCUAAGGUUUCCAGAGUAAAGCUGAUCUGCUCUGGGUAAGUCGGGGCCUAAGGCGAGGACGAGAGUCGUAGCCGAUGGACAACAGGUGGAGAUUCCUGUACUGCGGUAUGACAGAACUGUGGGGACACGUAAGGAAAGCGGAAGCCGGGAAUGGAAAGCCCGGUGCAAGCGGGGUACCAGUCACUUUGGCAAAUCCGGGUGGCAAUGGGAAGCCGUGAUGCGGAGCGAAAUAAAGUAGCGAAGUCCGUGAGCCAUGCGUCAAGAAAAGCCGCUAUUGUUUAUACCGUACCCGUACCGUAAACCGACACAGGUGGAUGAGGAGAGAAUCCUAAGGCCGGCGGAAGAAGCAUUGUUAAGGAAUUCGGCAAAAUGACCCCGUAACUUCGGGAGAAGGGGUGCCUGCGAGAGCAGGCCGCAGAGAAUAGGCUCAAGCAACUGUUUAGCAAAAACACAGGUCUAUGCGAAACCGAAAGGUGAGGUAUAUGGGCUGACGCCUGCCCGGUGCUGGAAGGUUAAGAGGAGAGGUUAGAGCAAUCGAAGCUUUGAAUUGAAGCCCCAGUAAACGGCGGCCGUAACUAUAACGGUCCUAAGGUAGCGAAAUUCCUUGUCGGGUAAGUUCCGACCCGCACGAAAGGCGUAAUGAUUUGGGCACUGUCUCAACAAUGCACCCGGUGAAAUUGAAAUACCAGUGAAGAUGCUGGUUACCCGCGCCAGGACGGAAAGACCCCAUGGAGCUUUACUCCAGUUUGAUACUGGGAUUCGGUACUGCAUGUACAGGAUAGGUGGGAGACGGAGAAGGAUGGACGCCAGUCUGUCCGGAGUCGCUGUUGGGAUACCACCCCUGUAGUACUGGGUUUCUAACCAGUUGCCAUGAACUGGCAAUGGGACAAUGUCAGGCGGGGAGUUUGACUGGGGCGGUCGCCUCCGAAAGGGUAUCG
RNAcentral lists this ribosomal RNA (2266 nucleotides) under human gut metagenome. RNAcentral describes it as "bacterial LSU rRNA". It matches the Rfam family "Bacterial large subunit ribosomal RNA", at positions 1 to 2302 of the family's 2925-position model. The record is from RNAcentral.